Pongo abelii (Sumatran orangutan) is the source of this 148-nucleotide unclassified non-coding RNA. It matches the Rfam family "Metazoan signal recognition particle RNA". From Rfam's summary of the family: The signal recognition particle (SRP) is a universally conserved ribonucleoprotein. It is involved in the co-translational targeting of proteins to membranes. The record is from Ensembl. NCBI's taxonomy places the organism in Eukaryota, Metazoa, Chordata, Mammalia, Primates, Hominidae.
GCCGGGCAUGGUGGUGCACGCCUGUAAUCCCAGCUACUUGGGAGGCUGAGGUAGGAGAAUUGCUUGAACCUGGGAGGCAGAGGUUGCAGUGAGCCAAGAUUGUGCCACUGCACUCCAGCCUGGGUGACAGAGUGAGACUCUGUCUCAA